Molecule: ribosomal RNA, 468 nt
Filed under: uncultured bacterium
Lineage: Bacteria
Description: partial 16S ribosomal RNA
Rfam family: Bacterial small subunit ribosomal RNA
Source: RNAcentral
GACGAACGCUGGCGGCGUGCUUAACACAUGCAAGUCGAACGGAAAGGCCCUGCUUUUGUGGGGUGCUCGAGUGGCGAACGGGUGAGUAACACGUGAGUAACCUGCCCUUGACUUUGUGAUAACUUCAGGAAACUGGGGCUAAUACCGGAUAGGAUCUCCUGCUGCAUGGUGGGGGUUGGAAAGUUUCGGCGGUUGGGGAUGGACUCGCGGCUUAUCAGCUUGUUUGUGGGGUAGUGGCUUACCAAGGCUUUGACGGGUAGCCGGCCUGAGAGGGUGACCGGCCACAUUGGGACUGAGAUACGGCCCAGAAUCCUACGGGAGGCAGCAGUGGGGAAUAUUGCACAAUGGGCGGAAGCCUGAUGCAGCAACGCCGCGUGCGGGAUGACGGCCUUCGGGUUGUAAACCGCUUUCGCCUGUGACGAAGCGUGAGUGACGGUAAUGGGUAAAGAAGCACCGGCUAACUACGUG